This 1674-nucleotide ribosomal RNA is filed under the name Escherichia coli. RNAcentral's name for it is "partial 23S ribosomal RNA". It matches the Rfam family "Bacterial large subunit ribosomal RNA", at positions 1213 to 2864 of the family's 2925-position model. The record is from RNAcentral. Lineage: Bacteria; Pseudomonadati; Pseudomonadota; Gammaproteobacteria; Enterobacterales; Enterobacteriaceae.
CUUAUGCGUUGUUGGGUAGGGGAGCGUUCUGUAAGCCUGUGAAGGUGUGCUGUGAGGCAUGCUGGAGGUAUCAGAAGUGCGAAUGCUGACAUAAGUAACGAUAAAGCGGGUGAAAAGCCCGCUCGCCGGAAGACCAAGGGUUCCUGUCCAACGUUAAUCGGGGCAGGGUGAGUCGACCCCUAAGGCGAGGCCGAAAGGCGUAGUCGAUGGGAAACAGGUUAAUAUUCCUGUACUUGGUGUUACUGCGAAGGGGGGACGGAGAAGGCUAUGUUGGCCGGGCGACGGUUGUCCCGGUUUAAGCGUGUAGGCUGGUUUUCCAGGCAAAUCCGGAAAACCAAGGCUGAGGCGUGAUGACGAGGCACUACGGUGCUGAAGCGACAAAUGCCCUGCUUCCAGGAAAAGCCUCUAAGCAUCAGGUAACAUCAAAUCGUACCCCAAACCGACACAGGUGGUCAGGUAGAGAAUACCAAGGCGCUUGAGAGAACUCGGGUGAAGGAACUAGGCAAAAUGGUGCCGUAACUUCGGGAGAAGGCACGCUGAUAUGUAGGUGAAGCGACUUGCUCGUGGAGCUGAAAUCAGUCGAAGAUACCAGCUGGCUGCAACUGUUUAUUAAAAACACAGCACUGUGCAAACACGAAAGUGGACGUAUACGGUGUGACGCCUGCCCGGUGCCGGAAGGUUAAUUGAUGGGGUUAGCGGUAACGCGAAGCUCUUGAUCGAAGCCCCGGUAAACGGCGGCCGUAACUAUAACGGUCCUAAGGUAGCGAAAUUCCUUGUCGGGUAAGUUCCGACCUGCACGAAUGGCGUAAUGAUGGCCAGGCUGUCUCCACCCGAGACUCAGUGAAAUUGAACUCGCUGUGAAGAUGCAGUGUACCCGCGGCAAGACGGAAAGACCCCGUGAACCUUUACUAUAGCUUGACACUGAACAUUGAGCCUUGAUGUGUAGGAUAGGUGGGAGGCUUUGAAGUGUGGACGCCAGUCUGCAUGGAGCCGACCUUGAAAUACCACCCUUUAAUGUUUGAUGUUCUAACGUUGGCCCCUAAUCGGGGUUGCGGACAGUGUCUGGUGGGUAGUUUGACUGGGGCGGUCUCCUCCUAAAGAGUAACGGAGGAGCACGAAGGUUGGCUAAUCCUGGUCGGACAUCAGGAGGUUAGUGCAAUGGCAUAAGCCAGCUUGACUGCGAGCGUGACGGCGCGAGCAGGUGCGAAAGCAGGUCAUAGUGAUCCGGUGGUUCUGAAUGGAAGGGCCAUCGCUCAACGGAUAAAAGGUACUCCGGGGAUAACAGGCUGAUACCGCCCAAGAGUUCAUAUCGACGGCGGUGUUUGGCACCUCGAUGUCGGCUCAUCACAUCCUGGGGCUGAAGUAGGUCCCAAGGGUAUGGCUGUUCGCCAUUUAAAGUGGUACGCGAGCUGGGUUUAGAACGUCGUGAGACAGUUCGGUCCCUAUCUGCCGUGGGCGCUGGAGAACUGAGGGGGGCUGCUCCUAGUACGAGAGGACCGGAGUGGACGCAUCACUGGUGUUCGGGUUGUCAUGCCAAUGGCACUGCCCGGUAGCUAAAUGCGGAAGAGAUAAGUGCUGAAAGCAUCUAAGCACGAAACUUGCCCCGAGAUGAGUUCUCCCUGACUCCUUGAGGGUCCUGAAGGAACGUUGAAGACGACGACGUUGAUAGGCCGG